CAUCUACAUAUAUGGGAACGUAUUUUAGAUCGAAAAAGUAGAUAAUCUGUGGCCAUAUGUGAACCUAGUAUAACAUUUAAAAUAUUAUAGGGCGAACGGCACAAUUUGAUCUAGAAGAAAGAAUAUUUUCCAGAAAAAAUAAACUUGCUCCAAAUUUCAUCGCUGUUUGCAGGUUUACGCUGGUUACUAAUUCCACUAUUGGACAUCCAUCGUUUGGGACUAUGUUGCGGGAAGAUCGUCGAUAAAUCAAUCGGAAGUAAAAAAAAAAAUCAUACCAAAAUAAAAGGAGCGAAAAGAUUACUAGCCAUUUUAAACUCUAUUAUCAAGAUUGAUUAAUUGCCAGAAAUGGCCGAUUUGUAAAACAGCAAAAGAAUCCUUGUUUAUUUAGUCCUUAAGUUAGUUGCUAUAAAACGCAACUCACAACGGUAGAAUAGAAUGAGGAGAAAAAAGAAAGACGGCGAUCGACUUCCGAAAUCGGUUAGAGUACGGCACACAUGUUUUACAUUUUUUAGUGGGAUUUAUCUUUUAGCUGAUCUUCUAAAACAUUUGACAACCCCUAUUUAGAAUAUGUUGAAAAUUAAUGAAAACAAAUAUUACAAAGCAUUAUAUUAAAUAUACUUUUAUGACCCUUUCAA
Long non-coding RNA from Anastrepha ludens (Mexican fruit fly), 635 nucleotides. RefSeq lists it as uncharacterized. The transcript is spliced from 3 exons. Lineage: Eukaryota; Metazoa; Arthropoda; Insecta; Diptera; Tephritidae. The record is from RefSeq and is a predicted model, not a curated record.